RNAcentral lists this ribosomal RNA (771 nucleotides) under uncultured bacterium. Its description in RNAcentral is "bacterial SSU rRNA". It matches the Rfam family "Bacterial small subunit ribosomal RNA", at positions 8 to 796 of the family's 1533-position model. The record is from RNAcentral.
AGAGUUUGAUCAUGGCUCAGGACGAACGCUGGCGGCGUGCUUAACACAUGCAAGUCGAGCGGAAAGGCCCUUCGGGGUACUCGAGCGGCGAACGGGUGAGUAACACGUGAGGAACCUGCCCUUAACUCUGGGAUAGCUUCGGGAAACCGGAAUUAAUACCGGAUAUGACCAUGAUCGGCAUCGGCCAUGGUGGAAAGAUUUAUCGGUUAGGGAUGGACUCGCGGCCUAUCAGCUUGUUGGUGGGGUAACGGCCCACCAAGGCGACGACGGGUAGCCGGCCUGAGAGGGCGACCGGCCACACUGGGACUGAGACACGGCCCAGACUCCUACGGGAGGCAGCAGUGGGGAAUAUUGCGCAAUGGGCGAAAGCCUGACGCAGCAACGCCGCGUGGGGGAUGAAUGUCUUCGGAUUGUAAACCCCUUUCAGCAGGGACGAAGCGAAAGUGACGGUACCUGCAGAAGAAGCGCCGGCUAACUACGUGCCAGCAGCCGCGGUAAUACGUAGGGCGCAAGCGUUGUCCGGAAUUAUUGGGCGUAAAGAGCUCGUAGGUGGUUUGUUACGUCUGCUGUGAAAACCUAGGGCUUAACCCUGGGCCUGCAGUGGAUACGGGCAGACUAGAGGUAGGUAGGGGAGAAUGGAAUUCCCGGUGUAGCGGUGAAAUGCGCAGAUAUCGGGAGGAACACCGGUGGCGAAGGCGGUUCUCUGGGCCUUACCUGACACUGAGGAGCGAAAGCGUGGGGAGCGAACAGGAUUAGAUACCCUAGUAGUCC